This 340-nucleotide transfer-messenger RNA is filed under the name Bacillota bacterium. RNAcentral describes it as "Firmicutes bacterium (anaerobic digester metagenome) transfer-messenger RNA". It matches the Rfam family "transfer-messenger RNA", at positions 54 to 374 of the family's 374-position model. From Rfam's summary of the family: Bacterial tmRNA, also known as 10Sa RNA or SsrA, is named for its dual tRNA and mRNA-like properties. Its role is to liberate the mRNA from a stalled ribosome. To accomplish this part of the tmRNA is used as a reading frame that ends in a translation stop signal. Lineage: Bacteria; Bacillati; Bacillota. The record is from RNAcentral.
GGAUUGUUUUUGGGCUACGAACUUAGCUAGGAAAUAUUUUGACAGUAUGACUCAUAUAAAACAGGGCUUGAUAAACGCUAACGAUAACUUAGCACUCGCUGCCUAAGAAAAGGCAGCCGUCCACCCGAACUGUGUCUACUGGGUUUGGGAGCGGGCGUCAGAAACAGUAGUACUACCGGCUGAGAGCGCCUGGUAUCAGUCGGGAAAUUAACAGGCUAGCAAGGUGGCUACCCUGUCCUUGGGGGAGCUGCCGCGCGAAAUUCAAAACAAGGACUGCGCUCGGAGAGACUCUGGCUGGCAUGCCUUCGGACGGUGGGUUCGACUCCCCCCGCCUCCACCA